This 328-nucleotide unclassified non-coding RNA is filed under the name soil metagenome. RNAcentral describes it as "partial contains 5.8S ribosomal RNA, internal transcribed spacer 2, and large subunit ribosomal RNA". The stretch from base 1 to 120 matches the Rfam family "5.8S ribosomal RNA", at positions 35 to 154 of the family's 154-position model. The record is from RNAcentral.
GAUGAAGAACGUAGCGAAAUGCGAUAAGUAGUGUGAAUUGCAGAAUUCAGUGAAUCAUCGAAUCUUUGAACGCACAUUGCGCCCCUUGGUAUCCCGAGGGGCAUGCCUGUUCGAGCGUCAUUUACCACUCAAGCCUGGCUUGGUGUUGGGCGACGUCCCCUUUGGGGACGCGCCUCGAAACGCUCGGCGGCGUGGCACCGGCUUUAAGCGUAGCAGAAUCUUUCGCUUUGGAAGUCGGGGCCCCGUCUGCCGGAAGACCUACUCGCAAGGUUGACCUCGGAUCAGGCAGGGAUACCCGCUGAACUUAAGCAUAUCAAUAAGCGGAGGA